UGAGGAAUAUUGGGCAAUGCCCGCAAGGGUGACCCAGCAACGCCGCGUGGAGGAUGAAUGUCGUAAGAUUGUAAACUCCUGUUAGAGGGGAAGAAUAGUACCGGUUGGACCGGUAUAUGACUGUACCCUCAGAGAAAGCCCCGGCUAACUACGUGCCAGCAGCCGCGGUAAUACGUAGGGGGCAAGCGUUGUCCGGAUUUACUGGGUGUAAAGGGCGCGCAGGCGGGAUAAAAAGUCAGUGGUGAAAUCCUACAGCUUAACUGGAGAACUGACUAUGAUACUUUCAUUCUUGAGUUCGGGAGAGAGAGACGGAAUUCCAGGUGGAGUGGUGAAAUACGUAGAUAUCUGGAAGAACACCAGUUGCGAAGGCGGUCUCAUGGUCCGACACGGACGCGGAGGCGCGAAAGCGU
This 410-nucleotide ribosomal RNA is filed under the name uncultured bacterium. RNAcentral's name for it is "bacterial SSU rRNA". It matches the Rfam family "Bacterial small subunit ribosomal RNA", at positions 355 to 762 of the family's 1533-position model. The record is from RNAcentral.